UUUCGCGCUUCUGCCCUGGCCCUCUGCGGGCCGCUCCGUCGGUGCUGUUCCUGGGCGCCUCCGUGCUCUCAGCCAACCGCCUCUGAGAGCGCCCACUCGAGCGCCCCGGGAGCCAGAGGGCGGGGGUCCUCGCCGGGACCCUCCUGUGGGCCCAGGGGAAAUAAUGAAGAUGUUUCAUUUUCAAGACCAGCAGAUCUUGACCUUAUUCAGUCAACUCCCUUUAAACCCCUGGCACUGAAAACACCACCUCGUGUACUUACGCUGAGUGAAAGACCACUAGAUUUUCUGGAUUUAGAAAGACCUCCUACAACCCCUCAAAAUGAAGAAAUCCGAGCAGUUGGCAGACUAAAAAGAGAGCGGUCUAUGAGUGAAAAUGCUGUUCGCCAAAAUGGACAGCUGGUCAGAAAUGAUUCUCUGUGAGUAGAAGCACUAGCAUUUUAUCUCGUUUGUAAGUUUUCUCAGGAUAUUUUCUGUACCCAUGUGUUUCUAAAUAAUUACUUCAUGUAGUUUUUAAAAUUUGUUUUACAUCAAUUUUAUAUUUUUGUAAUACUUUUUGUAAUCUUAAAAUCUGGCCAUUUUGUUGGUCCUGAGAAUUUU
This 597-nucleotide small RNA is filed under the name Pan troglodytes (chimpanzee). RNAcentral describes it as "retained intron". Lineage: Eukaryota; Metazoa; Chordata; Mammalia; Primates; Hominidae. The record is from RNAcentral.